Capra hircus (goat) is the source of this 1044-nucleotide long non-coding RNA. RefSeq lists it as uncharacterized. Lineage: Eukaryota; Metazoa; Chordata; Mammalia; Artiodactyla; Bovidae. The transcript has 3 exons. The record is from RefSeq and is a predicted model, not a curated record.
GCCUGGAAAAUUCCCUGGACAGAGGAGACAGGUGGCUACAGUCCAUGGGAUUGCACAGAGUCAGACAUGACUUCACUUUCACUUUCAGCCCCUCUAUAAGCCCAUAAGAUUCAAGCCCCCACCACUCCUUGAGAAAAGUGACCUCAUCAGUUGCAUUCAACUUGUAUCAUUAGUACCUGGAUCUACAAACAAACAAAAAAAUCACUCAAUGCUUAUUUGUUGAAUGGAUGAAUAGAUGGAUGAAAGGCAUCUUAGAGGUCAGCUAGUCCAACCUCUUCACUUUUAGAGAUUUUUCAUUCCUAGAAAUAAACUGCAAAAAAUUAAACCAUCAUGGACAACCUAGUGCUUUUGUGUGAGUGGGUGUCUAUGGCAUAUGCAGCUGAAACAAAGGAGGUAUACACUAACCUUUUUUGAGUAACACCACCAUGUUGCCUUGCAUAAAGAGCACUUAUUUUCACCUGGAGUCUACCAAUCACCAGAAUCACUGUGAGAACCAGUUAUUUUUAUGUGCUUCUGUUUUUUCCUCUGUGUUUUACAUCUGAUUGCUCUGCUGUUUGACAAGGAAUUUUACCACCCGGUAGAUGCAGCAUGUGGGGAAAACUCCUGUUCCUGUGGGGUGACGUCUCUGCUUCUGGGCAUAAGGUGAGGAGGCAUCUGGUGACCUCCCUGCUUGUGCUGCCUGGUACCCUGAGGCUCUGCAGAAAUUACUGUGUGAUCGUUCACCUUGGCUCAGCCUGAGAGCUACUGUGACAGAUUUAUUGGCUCUGAAACAUUUAUCCAAGCAGAACCUCUAAACCAAUAUACGUUUUCAGUCACACACACUCUAGGGAGAGGGGGAGGGGAAGUCUAAGGCAUGGAACUCUGCAGAGAUGUAAGUCCACCCCUCACUUCACUCUUGCAAAUUUGAGAAAUGAAAUGCAUAAUUUCUUCCAACCUCAGGUGUGUCUCUUUUUUUAACCAGUUUUUCUCAGUCAGUUGGUACAGAAAAAAAAGUACAUUAAUAAAAGAAAAUUAGUUCUAAUGAGAUGGAUGAAACUGGAGCCG